This 593-nucleotide ribosomal RNA is filed under the name uncultured bacterium. RNAcentral describes it as "bacterial SSU rRNA". It matches the Rfam family "Bacterial small subunit ribosomal RNA", at positions 8 to 612 of the family's 1533-position model. The record is from RNAcentral.
AGAGUUUGAUCAUGGCUCAGAGUGAACGCUGGCGGCGUGCCUAACACAUGCAAGUCGAACGAGAACGGAUUACAGCUUGCUGUAAUUGUCAGCUAAGUGGCGCACGGGUGAGUAAUAUAUAGUUAAUCUGCCCCAAAGAAGAGAAUAAUUGUUGGAAACGACUUGUAAUGCUCUAUAUGCCUUUAUCACAUAAGUGAGCAAGGGAAAUAUUUAUAGCUUUGGGAUGAGACUGUACGGUAUCAGCUAGUUGGUGAGGUAAUGGCUCACCAAGGCUAUGACAUCUAACUGGUUUGAGAGGAUGAUCAGUCACACUGGAACUGAGACACGGUCCAGACUCCUACGGGAGGCAGCAGUGGGGAAUAUUGCACAAUGGAGGAAACUCUGAUGCAGCAACGCCGCGUGGAGGAUGACACAUUUCGGUGCGUAAACUCCUUUUAUUAGGGAAGAUAAUGACGGUACCUAAUGAAUAAGCACCGGCUAACUCCGUGCCAGCAGCCGCGGUAAUACGGGGGGUGCAAGCGUUACUCGGAAUCACUGGGCGUAAAGAGCAUGUAGGCUGGAGAUUAAGUUGGAAGCGAAAUCCUAUGGCUCAA